GGGUGCUUAGCUCAGCUGGUUUAGAGCGCAUGCCCGACACGCAUGAGGUCGCUGGUUCGAAUCCAGCAGCACCCA
RNAcentral lists this transfer RNA (75 nucleotides) under Fodinibius salinus. Its description in RNAcentral is "Bacteroidetes bacterium YIM D17 tRNA". It matches the Rfam family "tRNA". From Rfam's summary of the family: Transfer RNA (tRNA) molecules are approximately 80 nucleotides in length. Their secondary structure includes four short double-helical elements and three loops (D, anti-codon, and T loops). Further hydrogen bonds mediate the characteristic L-shaped molecular structure. tRNAs have two regions of fundamental functional importance: the anti-codon, which is responsible for specific mRNA codon recognition, and the 3' end, to which the tRNAs corresponding amino acid is attached (by aminoacyl-tRNA synthetases). tRNAs cope with the degeneracy of the genetic code in two manners: having more than one tRNA (with a specific anti-codon) for a particular amino acid; and 'wobble' base-pairing, i.e. permitting non-standard base-pairing at the 3rd anti-codon position. Lineage: Bacteria; Pseudomonadati; Balneolota; Balneolia; Balneolales; Balneolaceae. The record is from Rfam by way of RNAcentral.